Long non-coding RNA from Mangifera indica (mango), 916 nucleotides. RefSeq lists it as uncharacterized. The transcript has 3 exons. The record is from RefSeq and is a predicted model, not a curated record. NCBI's taxonomy places the organism in Eukaryota, Viridiplantae, Streptophyta, Magnoliopsida, Sapindales, Anacardiaceae.
UGUUUAUUCAUAAACAUUACAUCUAUUCUUGAGAGUGGAAAUUUUCUUAAGUUGAAUCAAACUUGGUAAUGGAAUUGUAGAUUGAAUUAAACUAAGUUUAACUCUUCAGUUUGUUUGAGUUAAGAUCAAUUUAAGAAAGCUCGAUUUUAAUCAAUCCUAUUAUGUAUCUCCAAAAUCAUGUAAAACCUAAUUAAGAUUAAUAAGUUUUUUCUUUUUUGGGCUUGAUCGAGUUUGCUUUCGUGAGCUCGAGUUUGAUAAAUUUUUAGGACAGCUCAAAUCUUUGGCUCACCGUAAACAAAAGAUGGGAAAAACGAUGGCAUCAUGAAUUGCUUCUGCUCCUCCGCCGCACUUGCUUUUCCUUCUACGCUCAUGCUCAGCUCUCCAAUCUUGAUGACAUUGAGCGUCACUCUGAUUGCUCUGUCUCCUUUUCAGGUUUUGGUGAAGCAAAAUGCCCUGAAAGACUUGAAGAAGAAUUUGAAACGGAAACACCCACUCUUCAUAUUUCUGUGGAAAGGAGAACGAUAGCGGAGUUUGCUAUGAAAUCCCAAAUCCCCUUUCACAAUCACUUGUUUAUUGGGCACAUCCACUGUAUAUUCUUUAAGUCCUGUAAUUGCAGAAGAAGCGAUUGAAUUCCUCACCAUUUAUCUUUGAAGUAAGUUGGGAGACUCUUUGUCGACAUUCAGCGCAGCCCAUGUUUGCAUUCAUCACUAUCACCUGAAACUGGAAACAUAUGGACAAUUGACUUAACAUUGACUGACCAUAAAGAAGUGCUAAAACAACAUUUCAUUCAAGGUUGCUUUUUUUCAGUAGUAUGGAAUUUUGAGGAUGUUUAUUGAAUCUUCUUAUCCAUUAAGGUUUAUCAGUCCUGUCGUAAUAAUCAACUUUUAUAAUAAUUACAGCUCCCCAUUGGCCUGCC